CCUACGGGAGGCAGCAGUGGGGAAUAUUGCGCAAUGGGCGAAAGCCUGACGCAGCGACGCCGCGUGGGUGAUGAAGGCCUUCGGGUCGUAAAGCCCUGUCGGGAGGGACGAAGCCUCGGCGAUCUAAUACAUCGCUGACCUGACGGUACCUCCGAAGGAAGCACCGGCUAACUCCGUGCCAGCAGCCGCGGUAAUACGGAGGGUGCAAGCGUUGUUCGGAAUCACUGGGCGUAAAGCGCGUGUAGGCGGCCUCUUAAGUCUGGUGUGAAAGCCCGGGGCU
Molecule: ribosomal RNA, 280 nt
Filed under: uncultured bacterium
Lineage: Bacteria
Description: partial 16S ribosomal RNA
Rfam family: Bacterial small subunit ribosomal RNA
Source: RNAcentral